AGACACAGUCUUGUUCUGUCUUCCAGAUUGGAGUGCACUGGCGCGAUCUCAACUCACUGCAAACCUCCACCUCCUGGAUUCAAGCGAUUAUCGUGUCUCAGUCACCCAAGUAGCUGGGAUUACAGGUGCCCAUCACCACGCCUGGCUAAUUUUUGUAUUUUCAGUAGAGACAGGGUUUUGUCACGUUGGCUGGGCUGGUCUCGAACUCCUGACCUCAGGUGAUCUGCCCGCCUCAGUCUCCCAAAGUGCUGGAAUUAUAGGCGUGAGCCUCCAUGUCCGGCCCUUCUGAUUUCUCUUGAAAGCUGUUCUGUGUCCACCUGGAUGGAGCCACCACUCUUUUUGCACAUGAGCUGUCAGUGCAUGGGGACUAGGUUGUCCUCGACAACUCCCCACCAACAGACAUGAGGCUGCUCUGUCUCUGCUGUAAUCAACGUGCGGCGUGGGUCAUGCCUUUGGCACAUACAUGCCUGUGUGCCCCUGUGCCAGUGCCUCAGUCAGCAAGAAUCCUCGGAGGAGAACCGCUGCGCACGAGGAUCUGCCGCUGUCCGUGCUGGGCUGUGGGUAAAUUGCCUCCCCAUAGGUUGCACUUGUUCACACGCCUGUCCUCCCAAUGUCAGGCCAUGCCCCUCACUCCUAAUGCCAGGCAGCACAGAGCCAUUCAGGAGCCCUUUGGGGGCCCCUCCCAGGGAGCUCAGUCUAAUUGGAGACAGCAAAUAUGUUGGAUCUGCUUGAUUUUCAAAUGAUUUACCCAGAAACAUCUACCCUCUCAGCCCCUGGUGUGGGGAAUAUGAGCCCUUCCCUGGAAACACUGUUAGAAAAAGAAAAAAAACAAAAAGAAAGAGAGAGAGAAAGGGCUCAUUGAAUAGGGCAUCCCUAAAACGUGGACAGAGGAAGCAGAGAGAAUGGAGUCCAGACACUCGGACCCUGUUGUCACCCCACCAGGGUCCACCCAGCAACACCGAGACACUGAACAGGGCCCUCCUGAGGGCCUAGAAAUGGUGGUGAUCAGCUCCCACACCUGAGCCUCCCUAGUCCCCAAAUCACCAGCGGGGACUUUUUUACAGCCCCUCCACCCAGCCACCCUGGGUCCUGUGCAGCCAUCUGGGUCUACGCAUCUCCGGGACGCACAGAUGAGAUGGAACUGUCCCACGCAUGUUCUCUGGGGCAGAAACGGCGGCAGAGCCUGCCGAGGCCACUCUUGCCAGCUGGCCAGGGCACAGCGUCUGACCCAGGAGGCUGUGACUUCGCUGCCCCAGGCCUGGCAUGGCCUGUGGACAGUGGCCUGUCCCACCAGCCACCAGGAACCUCCCUUCAGUGCCCACCCCAUCCACCUCGCCAAGACUGAUCUAGAAAUUAUUUAUAGAUCCGAACUCCACAGAAACCAUUGUGUCUGCUGUUGCCAUGGCAAUGGGGAUGUGGCAGGAGCGCCAGGCUCUCAGGCUUUCCAGGGCCCGUGGAGGCCGGCAAGGGCGGUCGAUUUCUACCAGGAGCCCCUGACUCACACCCGCCGUCAGAGACCCCCGGGAGCGAAGAAGACAGGCUUCCCACCCUUUUCCAGCAGGGCUGGCUGCAUCCAGGAAGACAGCGCUGCUGGCCCUGCUGCACCUGCUCCCUCUUAGGACUGAAUGCCCUACGAUCCCCACCGAAUGAGGAAGGACGCUAGAGGUUACAGGACUGGUCCCCGACCGCUCAGCCAGAAACAGGCUUUGAACCCUGCUGAACUCCGGUGGCACAGGCUGCACAAGGCUUGCGUCUCCCUGGAAGGGCCACUCCUCUCUGGUCAGCGAAAUCUCCUCCCCGCCCAGGAAUCUGGACGGCCCCUGCCAUUUGCCUGGUUGUUCCCCUACCCGAGUGCCCUCGAUUUUCCCCUCUGGUCGGGGCAGGAGCGGCAGGGCUGGAUGCCAGGGCCCCAGGGGCAGGGAGGUGAGUGGGCACCACUCCUUCCCCCACGGGUAAGGUGGACAUCCAGCUUCGGACCACAUCACAGACGCCCAGGCCCCCAGCCAUAGCCGGGAUCACUCAGCUGGGUAACGUCUCCACUUCCCAGCUGGGCCAGAACUUUUCCAUGCUGCCAGGACUUGCAAGAAAACAGCUGUCUGGCUGGAAGAUGCCCCUGAGAAGUUGGCCCACCUGGUUCUCUGCAGUCUCUGGGGUACCUGCCCCCUGACCUUCAGCCAGGUCCUGCCUCUCGUAUGUCCACUCAGGAAUGCAAGGAUUUUGCCGAUGGAGGGGAGACUGCAUUGUGUUCAGAACGGAGGUUUUCACACUUUGGAAAACCACAUCCCCAGUGGCCAAGUGGUGUCAGAGAUGGGAUCUCACUACUGCCUUGAACUCCUGGCCUCAAGCGACCCUCCCGCCUCUGCGUGAGCCACCUCACCCAGCUCCCAGUGAUGUUUUUACGUGAUUUCUUAAAAUUAGGAUCCAAAUAUUAUCCACGCCAUGCAUCUUGUGGUUCUGUUGCUUUUCCCUCCCUGGCCCCUUCCCCGCUUCCCCAGCCUACCCCACCCUAAGACAGCAGGGACACCCACUUUCCCUGUGCAAAGCGGCCUUCCCAUCUCCCAUCUGUGCAUCCAACCAAGAUUCGAGGAGCACCCACCUCGUGCUAAGGACUGGGGCACAUUCCUGAAGAUGACUCUGGUCUCUGCCCUGUGGACAGCAGAGUCUAGAGGAGGAGAGAGCAGAGACAAGCGUUAGAAAAAGAGUGUCUGAUCACUCCAGACUCUGCUGAGAGGUGAGGUGCCUCCCCCUGCCUGCUCCCUCCUCCCUGCACUGAUCCCUUCCUCCUGCCCCCAGCGGGCCACCUGGUUAAUUACCACUGCCUCCCAGCUUCUCCAGCUCCCACACCUCCGACUCCCCAGCCUAAGGGAGGGCUCCUUGGUCCCCUUCCUGAAUGAUAUUUACAAGCCAGCCGCGCUGGGCUCCAGAAAGAGGAGGACUGUGGCAAUUUCCUUUUUAUCAACGAGGCUCAGAGAAGUCGGUAACAUACCCAGAGUCACCCAGAAAUGAACCCUCGGAGGCAGGAUUCAAACCCAACAGGGCCUCAGGGUCACGCUGUUUUUUCCCCUAGGGUUGAGAGAGCGGGAUCCGGGUGGACACUGGAAUUCCUCCGAGCUUAGAUGAGCUGUAUCAGGGUUCGGCAAACCAUGUCCCUUGGGCCAAAUCCCACGGCAGCCUGCUUUUGUGAAUAAAGUUUUAUUGGAACACAGCCACACCUGUGCAUUGAUAUAUUACUUAUGGCCGUUCUGUUUCUCCAAUGGCAGAGCCCAGGGGUUGCAACGGAGACCAUUUGUGCAAAAGCCAAAAAUCUUCACUAUCCAGCCCUUUACAGGAAAAGUUGGCCAAACCUUAUGCUAUAUGUUUAGCAGGAUAAAGAAAGAAAGAAACCUGUAGGAGCCUCUCUUCCCUAAAACCUAAAUUAUUUACAAUUUAAAUUUAAAGCCACUUUCAUUCAGUGGCCUAUUCUUGAACUGGCUCUGAAAAGGAUUCCUUGUUCUGGAAGGCAGACGGUGUGAGACUGUAGAGGUGAGAGUGAAAAUCUUAAGGCCCAUAUCUGAAUUCUAAGGAUAUGCUUCCCAAUCUGUGUGCAUUCCCUGCAUGAACUAUUCAAUUUAAAUUUUUAAAAAGAGGAAGAAAAUAGCCAUCUCCAUGGUUUUUCCUUCUCAUUGCUCCAAUUCCAUAACAACAAGCCCUCCAGCAAGCCUCAAUUUAUUCAAAUUCCCAAGCUGGGUUUGGAGGGGCGGGAGACAGAAAUCCUGUCCCCCAGAUCGGAUCAUGCUGUCACCAGAAUGGGCUUGGUAUUUUUUUCCAGCAAGUGUCUUGGUUUGUGUGAGGACAGAUGAUGGUGUCACGCCCACGCUGGGUAUGACAGGGGAGAGGAGUCCACAGGGGGAGCCGGGGGACUGGCCGCUUCCUCAAAGCCUGGACCCAUAGGAGGCGUUCCCUGGCGUCCACCAGCCUCUCUGAGCAACCGCCUGCCCGCAGCCAGCAGGAAUCGUCCUGGCCUACGCUUUCACACAGAGCCCUCAUGAGGAAGCCCCUGCAGGGAGAACGCUCAGAGAUGGAAAGUCACUGCCCAAGGCCACACAGCUGAGACCUAAACCCUGAAUAUCUCCAGGGCUGUCCCGUUGAUAUCUUCCAACAGCACGUGCACAGAGACAGCCAUCAGUGGGGACGCUGCCUGGAUGGAGGACAGCUAGUUUGGCGUUCGCUUCAGAACAAUCUGGGGGAGGUAGAAUGCGGGUAUGGAGGAGAGAAGAUGGCUCCCAGGUGGAAGCUGGUGAUAGGCCCCAGGUGGGCACCCCAGGUGGCACCCUAGAUGAAGUCUCGCUCUGUUGCCCAGGCUGGACUGCAAUGGCGC
Molecule: non-coding RNA, 4357 nt
Organism: Macaca mulatta (Rhesus monkey)
Lineage: Eukaryota; Metazoa; Chordata; Mammalia; Primates; Cercopithecidae
Source: RefSeq, a predicted model, not a curated record